UACGUAGGGUCCAAGCGUUAAUCGGAAUUACUGGGCGUAAAGCGUGCGCAGGCGGUUGUGUAAGCCAGAUGUGAAAUCCCCGGGCUUAACCUGGGAAUGGCAUUUGGGACUGCACGGCUAGAGUACGGCAGAGGAGACUAGAAUUCCUGGUGUAGCAGUGAAAUGCGUAGAUAUCAGGAGGAAUACCGAUGGCGAAGGCAGGUCUCUGGGCUGACACUGACGCUCAUGCACGAAAGCGUGGGGAGCAAACAGG
This 253-nucleotide ribosomal RNA is filed under the name uncultured bacterium. Its description in RNAcentral is "partial 16S ribosomal RNA". It matches the Rfam family "Bacterial small subunit ribosomal RNA", at positions 524 to 776 of the family's 1533-position model. The record is from RNAcentral.